Molecule: ribosomal RNA, 484 nt
Filed under: uncultured bacterium
Lineage: Bacteria
Description: partial 16S ribosomal RNA
Rfam family: Bacterial small subunit ribosomal RNA
Source: RNAcentral
AUUGAACGCUGGCGGAAUGCUUUACACAUGCAAGUCGAGCGGCAGCACGGGGGCAACCCUGGUGGCGAGCGGCGAACGGGUGAGUAAUACAUCGGAACAUGCCCAGUCGUGGGGGAUAACACUUCGAAAGAAGUGCUAAUACCGCAUACGUCCUGAGGGAGAAAGCGGGGGAUCGCAAGACCUCGCGCGAUUGGAGUGGCCGAUGUCAGAUUAGCUAGUUGGUGGGGUAAAGGCCUACCAAGGCAACGAUCUGUAGCUGGUCUGAGAGGAUGAUCAGCCACACUGGGACUGAGACACGGCCCAGACUCCUACGGGAGGCGGCAGUAGGGAAUUUUGGACAAUGGGGGCAACCCUGUUCCAGCCAUUCCGCGUGAGUGAAGAAGGCCUUCGGGUUGUAAAGCUCUUUCGGCAGGAACGAAACGGCGAGCUCUAACAUAGCUUGCUAAUGACGGUACCUGAAGAAGAAGCACCGGCUAACUACGUG